This 347-nucleotide ribosomal RNA is filed under the name Ixodes tovari. Its description in RNAcentral is "partial 12S ribosomal RNA". The record is from RNAcentral. Lineage: Eukaryota; Metazoa; Arthropoda; Arachnida; Ixodida; Ixodidae.
AUUAUUUUAAGCUAAAAGUUGGUAGUAAAUAAAAUUUAUGAAAUCAUAAAAUUUUGGCGGUAUUUUAAGCUUUUUAGAGGAAUUUGCUCUGUAAUGGAUAUAACGCCUUAAUCUUACUUAAUUUAGUUUUAAAUUCAGUUUGUAUACCACUAUAUUUAAUUAUAUUGAAUGAUAAUAUUUAAGAAUUUUUUUUUAAAAAAUAUAUUAAGUCAAGGUGCAUCUAAUAAUUAUGAAUGAAGUGAAUUACAUUGAUUUUGAUUAUAAUUUUACAAUGAAAAAAGUUUAUAGGAUUUAAUAGUAAAAUAUUAAUAUAAUGAAUAUUUGAAUAAAGCUCUAAAAUAUGUACA